This 237-nucleotide long non-coding RNA is filed under the name Hordeum vulgare. RNAcentral describes it as "long non-coding RNA (HVUL_LNC009101)". The record is from RNAcentral. Lineage: Eukaryota; Viridiplantae; Streptophyta; Magnoliopsida; Poales; Poaceae.
UUAGUCUUAACAGAAUUGCCUUUGCUUUAUUUUCUUUCUCUGGUUAUUUUGUAAUUAGAAAACCCCAGGGGUUUAUUUUUCCUCUAUCUGGCGCCAACUAGUGUGCCUCCUCCCACUAGCAGGCCCAACUCCCCUCCUUUCUACUAUAGACGAUGUUCCCUGUCCUCCUCCUUCGUUAGGCUCCUUCAGAGAGACAGAGAUUGCGCGGCAGCAACAGACGGCGUCACGAACGUCGAG